This is a non-coding RNA of Oryctolagus cuniculus (rabbit), 5204 nucleotides long. The record is from RefSeq and is a predicted model, not a curated record. Lineage: Eukaryota; Metazoa; Chordata; Mammalia; Lagomorpha; Leporidae.
GGCCGGUGCAGCUCGGCGGUUGCACGAAUGAAUGGGGUUUUGUUGAGUGACCUCACACAUGAAGGAAAUAAGAACUGCUUGUGCCCCUUUUGUAUUCAGUUGACCUGGGCUGGGCCUCAGAAGAAGCUGGAAGGGAAAAGGCCGUGGGAGGAGGCCGGAAGGCACCACCUCGCCCCUUCCCGUCCUGUUCCCCAUGCUGACUCCGCAGCCCUGCCAGGGCUGACUGCCGCAAGAGAUACAAAGAGCCCCUGCACUCAGCACCCCCAGGCCUGCCUGGCUGUCCCUGUGUUGCUGGCCUCCAGCCAGCGGGCGCCACCCAGCUGCAGCUCCCGGCUCCCUGCGGGGGGGACAGGGGAUCGCAGCCCCCGGGCCCAGCCAGUCUCUUCUCCACCACUCAACCCGGGGCAUCCAGAACGCCUUCCCUGCCUAUCCAACAGAUUCUGGAGGUGCUGGAGAGCCCACAGGAGACACAAUGUGCCUGGAAGAUGUCGAGGGAGAGACUUUCGAAACAACCUCGAAAUGCCCCCAGGCAAACUCUCCAGCUAUGGGAAAGAACAUUCGAGACCAUCCCUUACUUUUGCACUUUACCAUCUUCUGUCCUGAAGACAAUCCUGCCAGAAAGGAAUUUCAAUCUACAAAGCACUCAAUGCAGCAUAUAAUUCUCAUUAGUUACUUAAUGAGUCUGUGUUGACUGAGGAGGUGUGUGCCACCAGCAGGACCAAAAUAAACCAAGCAGCUGGGGCAGAAGUAGACCCAGAGAGUGCCCACACCUGAGUGACCCAGGCACUGACCUCUGUUCUCUGCAAAGGGGAGGAAGGUGAAAGCUAGUCUGGAAGGAAUCAGGCUAAAGUGGUCCCCAUUUGGUAAGUGGCCCAUCUGCCCCCAUUGACAACUGGGAAUGGUCCCCUGGUGGCUGCCAUCACAGCUGGUCUGUGGAGUCGGCUGGGACAGGUGCAGGUGAGCUUUCCCCACCUUCCCCACGUCAGCCCAGUGUCUCUUCCUUCCGAGCAGCUGCAGGAGAGGGAAAAGUCUAGCCUGUCCUGUGUUUACGGAUGGGCCAGGCUGGCAUGUGUGUGCAAGUAGAAAAUGGACAAUGACCGCAUUGCAGCCCCGUUCCUGGGUGACCUUAGAGGACAGUGGGAAUGGAAAAUCCCUCAGAGGAAAGCACUUUGGGAAGUGCCCCAGAUACAAAGAGCAUUGGAGGUGAUGGCCAGUGGAAAAUGGCCAGCUGAUCAGAGCUCUGGAGGGAGAAAGACUGGGGCUGUGGGGCCGAGGAAGCGGUGGGAGGGACUCGGGGGACUGGGCACAGAGUGUGACUCUCUUUGCAUCACGCGUCAACGCCCACAACCUCGCCGCUCCAACCCUCCCACCUGCUGAAGCCUCUGCUGAAGUGAUGGCUCAGGGGUGACACCAGGCAAAGCCGAGGACCCAGCAUGCACUGCGUGUGCUGCUGCCUCCCGGUGGGAAGAUUGACAGGCCUCCCCAAUGACUCCUGUCAUUAACUCCUCCUGGAAGCAUCGGGCUGGCUCUCUCCACACCUCAGGCUGACUUGACUUCCCAGGGGCCUCAUCACUCUACCUGUCCAAAUUUGGUGGUAAAACUUCCAUCCUGUUCAUUUUGAGCACUCCCCUGUCACAUCCCUUUCAGGGCAGGGUAGGGUCCCACGAUCUGGGGGUACAGGGCUGGGGUGGGGACACCUCUGUUCCUUUCUCUGUGCUCACCUGGUCGGGGAGAAGAGACAAGCUGUAGUCUGGGGGUCCCCAAGGCCACCUUCAGCUUUGAUGAGUCCUAGAACCCAGAACCAGCCGUGUACUUGCAGUUACAACUCAGAGCCACAUUUGGAGCUGAAAGCCAGCAAAGGGAAACAGCACAGCCAGGAGUCUGCGAGAGAGAGGCCAUGAGUUUCCAUGGGCCUCUCCCAACAGUCUUGGAACAGCAGCCACUCCUCGCAGAGCAUUGCUAGCCAGAGAACCCAUGCAAGCCUCCAUGCCCAGGGCUCUCACUGGGGUCAGUCACGUGGCUCACUUUAGUCUGCAGCCCUUAGAAGUCAAGGUGACCCCAGAUGGCCCAAGGCAUCACCAAUCACAUUAACACCAUGGACCUGCCAUGGGCCAAGGGCUCCAGGUACACAGAGACACUGUUAUCAUGCAGAACAUGCCAGGGACUUCCUUCCUGGGGACUUAGCAAGGCUCAAACCUGUCCUUGGGCGAGGCUAAUCCUUUUCUGGCUUUGCAUGGCUGCUCAUGGCAGCUGCUGGCCACCCUUGCCAGCUUAGCUCAUUGUAGGUUAGGAUAGCCCUAUGGAUCUGCAGAAUCUAGGGACUUAAUUCUCUUCUGUUUCCUAAAGCCAUUGUUACCCCACCUCCAUUCUGAAAUUUCUGGGGUCAAGAAUGGUGAUCUCCAUCAGUAUUCCAUAUCAUCCUGUUACCAUAGCAACAUAGAAUGUAACACUGAAUUCAAGACAUAAUUGUCUAAAAACAAAAACAAAAAUCCCUUGGCCAUUGUUCCAUAAUGCAGCCUUCAGCUUCCGGCUGGAUUCCUCUUCUACCUCCCUUUUGGGAACAAAACCAAUUCAUCCAGUUUCUGCUGUCUCUGUCCCCACCCCUGAAGUCCAGCCCCAGGCCAUUAAAUCAACUGAGGAAGGUGGCAGAAGGAAAAGGCUUUUCGUUUUUCCAGGAUCCACUCAGAAGGCGCUGACACUCGUGGAUGACGAUUUCUUCCCUGUGUUACAGUCGCCGUGGCAUUAUUCACCAUCAGCCAUGGGGGAACCCCUCCUCAGCUGAACCUGCUGCUGCUGCCAGCGCUCUGCACCAACUGUGGUUUGCUCCCUGGAUUCUGGUGGUGAAAUCUCAGUGGGAACAAAGCCUCGUUGAGUUUUUAUUGAGUUAUCAUAGGUUCUCAAUGGCAGGAGUGUGGGAUGGUGGUGUCAGGCUAAUAUGCCUUUGUGAUGAAAUCGUGCCACCCCGGUUUAUUGCACAUUUUGUUGAAUAGCAUUGAUUUGAGUUGUUCAGUUGAAUUGCUUUGAUGGAUGAAAUGUGGCUUUCUACAUACUGAGCUUUCUGUUGCUACAGCUUGAAUAUUAGUUUGGAUGUCUCCCAAAGACCCAUGUGUUAAAGGCUUUGUCCCCAGAGUGGGGUGCUAUUGGGAGGGGACGGAGUCUUUAGGAGGUGGGGCCUGGUGGGAGGUCCCUAGGUCAUUGGAGGAUGCCCCCUGAAGGUACUACUUGUGAGAGGCAGGGUUAUAAAAGUGGAGCCAGUCCCAGCCGGUCUCCCUUCUUCCUGGCUUGCCACAGGCUCUUUUCUCAGCACAUGCUCUGUGUCACUGCCACCUGCUACCUUCAUCAGAGACCGAAACAAUGGGCUGCCCCAUCUUGGACUUAAACUUCUGAGACUGUGAGCUAACUGAACCUUGUCUCUUCAUGAAGUUAGUUUCCUUGAGUAUUUCAUUAUAGUCAUGAAAAGCUAAUACAGCCCCUAAAACCAGCUGAGGGUACUUGCUUUGCAUGGACAGCACUCCCUGUGUGACUGGAACAUCACAGAUGCACCUGUCCCCUGCAGGGCAGGCAGUGGUCCUGUCCUUGAAGCCAAGGCACAGAGCCAGUGAGAGUGCCUGGGCCACCACAGCCAUUGAGUGUGAGGUGGACCUAGGGACAUUGCUAUGAUCUGAAAGGGAAUUGAAUAAGAUGGCUCAAAACUUUAUCCUUCUUAGAAUUUAUACCCAGGAGAAUCUAAAGCAGACAUGGUACAGCUAUGAGAAGGCAUGGAGUUACAAGCACUGGCAAGAUUUCAAUACAGCAUACAGGUGGCUUCCUGAAUGGACAGUACUCAGGUUGUAAUUCUCCUAUGGCACUUCUUACUAAUUUUGCUUUAUAUUCUCUUUUGCUAGUGACAUACAAUAAGGCAACGAAACACGCACUGGAGAAUUGGAGACUCAGCUUGUGUGCAGUCCCUCCACCCUCUGCCUCGCUGCCUCCCUGGGCUCUCAGCCUCUGCUCACCUGGCCCCUGCUGUCCCAACCCCCCAUGGCCUCCCCUUCCUUAUCCUUCCUACAGCUGCCCUCCCUGUCCAGCAGGUGCCUGCACCUGGACAUGUGGCGAGUUAGGAGAGGACACAUGUGCCCUUCUGCAUCCUGGGGCAGGGCAUGGCAGCCCCAUCCCCACCCUGGGCUCCCAGCAUCAUGGCCCAUUUGGAAGUGACUUGGCAGGAGUGAGCCUUUUAUCCAACCCCUAUCCUAUACCGAGGUGUCCCAACAUGGAAGUCUCCAUACCACUGGGGAGUCAUCCAUGCAUCGUGGGUUGGUGUGGCUGGCUCAGGGGAAGUGCACAUGUAUGACUGAACUUAACUGUCUCAGGCUGUGACAUGGUGCAUUGUAACUGACAAGGAGGAGGGUCACAUGUACCAAUUCUCCUAGGGGCCUGUGGAUGUUCUGGGUGAGACUGAGAAGAAUGUGUAUUCUGCUGGUGUUGGACAAAGUGUUCUAUAGAAAUCAAUUAGAUCCAGCUGAUUGAUAAUGUUAUUAGUUCAACUAUAUCCUUACUGAUUUUCUGCCUGCUCUGUCAUUUACUGAGAGGUAAAUAAUAGAUUCCUCUAUGCUCAUAUUCUCUCUGUGGUCCUGUCAGUUUUUGCUUUAUGCAUUUGGGCACUCUGUUGUUUGGUACAUAUGUGUUAGGUACUGUUAAUGUGCCCUUGGAGAAUUGACCUUUUAAUCUUUUUUUAUAACACCUCCUCUAUCCUUUAUAAUCUUCCCCUCUCUAAAAUCUACUGCUCUCAUAUCAAAAUAGCUUUCUUCAAUUAAGGCUAGUAUGGUAUAUAUUUCUCUAUCUCUUUACUUUUCAUAUAUGUCUUUAAGUUGGGCUUCUCAUAGAAAACAUAUAAUUGCGGCCGGCGCUGCGGCUCACUAGGCUAAUCCUCCGCCUAGCGGCGCCAGCACACCAGGUUCUAGUCCCGGUCGGGGCGCCAGAUUCUGUCCCGGUUGCCCCUCUUCUAGGCCAGCUCUCUGCUGUGGCCAGGGAGUGCAGUGGAGGAUGGCCCAGGUGCUUGGGCCCUGCACCCCAUGGGAGACCAGGAAAAGCACCUGGCUCCUGGCUCCUGCCAUUGGAUCAGCGCGGUGCGCCGGCCGCAGCGCGCCGGCCGUGGCGGCCAUUGGAGGGUGAACCAACGGCAAAGGAAGACCUUUCUCUCUGUCUCUCUCUCUCACUGUCCACUC